RNAcentral lists this ribosomal RNA (497 nucleotides) under uncultured bacterium. Its description in RNAcentral is "partial 16S ribosomal RNA". It matches the Rfam family "Bacterial small subunit ribosomal RNA", at positions 28 to 507 of the family's 1533-position model. The record is from RNAcentral.
GACGAACGCUGGCGGCGUGCUUAACACAUGCAAGUCGAGCGGACAGAUCAGGAGCUUGUUCCGUUGACGUUAGCCGCGGACGUGUGAGAAACACGAGUGUCACCUACCUAUAUGACUGGUAUAACCCCGGGAAACCGGCGAAUACCCCGGAUGACCUUUAGCAGCACAGUGUUCUUUAGUAAGAGAUGGCUUUGCUAUCUCGUCUAGAGGCUCACGCGCCGUAUGAGGUGGUUGGUAAGGUAACGGCUUACUAAGGCAACGAUACGUAGCCGACCGGAGAGGGUGAUCGGCCACACGGGAGCGGGGACACGGUCCAGACUCCUACGGGAGGCAGCAGUAGGGAAUCGGCCGCAAUGGGCGAAAGCCUGACGGAGCGACGCCGCGUGAGUGAUGAAGGUCUUCGGAUCGUAAAACUCGGUUAUUAGGGAAGAACAAAUGUGGAAGUAAAUGUGCACGUCGUGACGGUACUGAAUCAGAAAGCCACGGCUAACUACGUG